RNAcentral lists this long non-coding RNA (820 nucleotides) under Marmota monax (woodchuck). Lineage: Eukaryota; Metazoa; Chordata; Mammalia; Rodentia; Sciuridae. The record is from RNAcentral.
CUUUACCUGAAUAGAAUUAUCUAAUUUUGUCAGUCAAAACCCAGUGGUCUCAUGCUAUUGGUUUUAGAUUGCAAAUGAUUGACUGGUUGAAUGAUUUUUUUUUUCUGUUUAUAAAAUGGAAGCUUAAGUUAAAACCAUCUGUCCAGAAGAGGAACCUGAGAAUGUACACUGAGUGGUUUUAGGAAGUGCCCAGAAGAGCUUCAUGUUGUUAUGGCCAUACUUUCAGGAAAAGACAAAUGACUUCUUUUAACAUGCAAUUACAGUGAUGAUAUGGUAGCUCGUUUCUGUUUCAGCCCACCAUGUGCCUUGUAGACCCCCUUCAGCGUCUCAUGCCACUAUUAGGUUUGGGGGCUAUGUGCCAGGACUGCAGUGCCAACUACCUUCCUCUCCCACAUGGAUCCAGCCCAGUGGCUCACCUCCAGUGUCCCUGGAUCUAGAGAACUCCCUGCCUGUCAUGCCUACAACAACUUCUUUCCCCCCUUUUAAGUCUACCAGCUUUAUUCCUUUCUUGGUUUAACAUCAACUCUUCUUUCUAUAGGUGUUUGUUCUCACUCCCCAGCUGACCUCAAGCAAGAUGAUAUGAAGGCAGUGUCCCUAUCUCCCACCAGGCAUUCCCUGUUGCACUUCGCACAUAAAUACUGGGGUUCAUCCACUGCAGGAAUAUGGUACCAGGCUAGGGGAAGAGGCAUCAGGAAAGCAGAAGACUCAUCCUGUGGGUCUUGCAUAGUGGCCUUAAAAGAAGGAUACCUGUGGGAAUCUGCCUAGAGUUCCACUCCUUCCUAUUGCCUCAUAAAUCAUGAUCAAAAAAGCAACAAUGGAC